GGAAAGCAUUGAUUCAAUGCUUCCUAUGGGGAAGUACUAACACGUUUGUUGCGCAUGCACAUUAGCCCCCUCCACCCUGUCGACUGACAGCGGAUUCCGAACUUGACCCAACAUUGGGUCUUGAAUCAGGUAAGUGACAAUUUAAGCACAGGUGGCAGGGACGCGGGGGUACUAAACUGUACUCCUAGCACUAUAGUCUCCUUCUAAGUGUACUUUACAUUUUUAUGAUACCAUAUUUACAUAAACCAAACAAAUGGGAGAAAAACACACAUUCCUUCUUAAUUGUGCAUGCA
Pelobates cultripes (western spadefoot toad) is the source of this 293-nucleotide non-coding RNA. Lineage: Eukaryota; Metazoa; Chordata; Amphibia; Anura; Pelobatidae. The record is from the annotation of a GenBank genome assembly.